This 30-nucleotide non-coding RNA is filed under the name Rattus norvegicus (Norway rat). Lineage: Eukaryota; Metazoa; Chordata; Mammalia; Rodentia; Muridae. The record is from RNAcentral.
UUUACUAUAUUUCAUCUGGGCUGCUCUUAA